Siniperca chuatsi (mandarin fish) is the source of this 286-nucleotide long non-coding RNA. RefSeq lists it as uncharacterized. Lineage: Eukaryota; Metazoa; Chordata; Actinopteri; Centrarchiformes; Sinipercidae. The record is from RefSeq and is a predicted model, not a curated record. The transcript has 2 exons.
CGGUGGCUGGCACCAGCGCAGGACGACACCAUACAUACGCUGACUGCAUCACCAGCCGGCACCAGGACUGUUCAGUGGCCGGGAAGGAGUGCAGGCAGCCGCCAUUCCAAGUGGUUUCAUUGCCAGUCCACACGGUCCAGUAGAGGGAUGGAAACUUGACUGCGGGCUGUUCAGACUGCGGCGCUGGAACGGCAGGCAGCGCCCCCUGCUGGCCGUCCAGUGUGCCUAAAUGGAGAUCCUGCAGGUGCACUGCGUGUCCACCUCCAGGCCCCAGUCUGAGUGUCAG